Non-coding RNA from Lonchura striata (white-rumped munia), 1099 nucleotides. The record is from RefSeq and is a predicted model, not a curated record. NCBI's taxonomy places the organism in Eukaryota, Metazoa, Chordata, Aves, Passeriformes, Estrildidae.
ACGGGGCAGGGCAAACGCCGACCCCGCCGUCCCGAGGGCUUCCCCCGUCCCGCCGGGGCAGGCGCCUCACCUGGUGCUCCUCCAGCUCCUCUACCAGUACCUGGGGACAGAGGGACACACAGACACACAGACACACACAAAGGACGGUCCGGACUGCAGGAACCGUGCGAUCAGGUAGUAGAGCUCUGCGGAGAGGCGGGGGAGAGCGGGUUAGACACGAAAUGCCAAAUCCAGCUGUGGAUGGAACGCCCAGGAAAAGGGGUGGCUCUGUGUCCCUGUGUGCUCUGGACUCUUCCAGCAGAAGGACUGGGAGAAUGGUAUCAGUGUCAGGUCCAUCCCCAGCACCUCUGAAUUCCAACUUUGUGCCUCUAAGUGCCUGGAACCCCCAAGUUCUAUAGCAGCAGAUGACUACUGGGUGUAAGUGACCAGGGCUCUGCAUUUUUGGCUUCUCUGGAGGCCUGGGCACAAAGCAUCUGACUGCAGCUGGGAAUUCAUCACCUCUCUCCCUGAACAUGCAAAUUUUACUGGAACUCCCUCAGCUAAUUUGCUGAAUUCUUGCCCUGUUACCAGCUGCUGAUGCAGAUGAAACCAGAAAAAGUGGAUUAAAAGGAAUGAGGUUAUGAAGCAUGAAAAAAUACUCCAAAACAACUGUGGAGGAGGGAAGAGGAGUUUCUACUCUGACCCCGGAGCCGGCACAAAAUGGAACCAUGACUUGGGGAAAUACUUCUGGUCAGCACCUCUGUGAUGAUGGAUUUAUAUGAAGGAAGAAACCAAACCAAGCAAAAUUGCAGCCCGCUGGAAAGCUGAGGCUCAGCCUGAGGCUUAGGGACAGCCCACCUCCAACUCCAGCCAUACUCUGAGGGGAGCAGCAGCCCUGAAUCCAUGAAACAGCAAAACUCGUUUGUGGUCCUACAAAGCAGCCUCUGGAGCCAGGGUGAAACCCGAGAGCUGCUGCAAUCCAAACCUUCUCCACAGCUCCUUUUAUCUUCCUGGGGGGAAAACAAACAGCGCAGAAGCCGAGCUUUGAGCUUUGUGGCUGGGAUGUCGCACAUCUGGUUUGAGCUCCAAGAAAUGCACUUCCACACCCCCCCUUCCCCCC